GACGAACGCUGGCGGCGUGCUUAACACAUGCAAGUCGAACGGAAAGGCCCUGCUUUUGUGGGGUACUCGAGUGGCUAACGGGUGAGUAACACGUGAGUAACCUGCCCUUGACUUUGGGAUAACUUCAGGAAACUGGGGCUAAUACCGGAUAGGAGCUCCUGCUGCAUGGUGGGGUUGGAAAGUUUCGGCGGUUGGGGAUGGACUCGCGGCUUAUCAGCUUGUUGGUGGGGUAGUGGCUUACCAAGGCUUUGACGGGUAGCCGGCCUGAGAGGGUGACCGGCCACAUUGGGACUGAGAUACGGCCCAGACUCCUACGGGAGGCAGCAGUGGGGAAUAUUGCACAAUGGGCGGAAGCCUGAUGCAGCAACGCCGCGUGCGGGAUGACGGCCUUCGGGUUGUAAACCGCUUUCGCCUGUGACGAGGCGUGAGUGACGGUAAUGGGUAAAGAAGCACCGGCUAACUACGUG
Molecule: ribosomal RNA, 467 nt
Filed under: uncultured bacterium
Lineage: Bacteria
Description: partial 16S ribosomal RNA
Rfam family: Bacterial small subunit ribosomal RNA
Source: RNAcentral